CAGCCGCCGCGGUAAUACAGAGGGUGCGAGCGUUAAUCGGAUUUACUGGGCGUAAAGCGUGCGUAGGCGGCUUCUUAAGUCGGAUGUGAAAUCCCUGAGCUUAACUUAGGAAUUGCAUUCGAUACUGGGAAGCUAGAGUAUGGGAGAGGAUGGUAGAAUUCCAGGUGUAGCGGUGAAAUGCGUAGAGAUCUGGAGGAAUACCGAUGGCGAAGGCAGCCAUCUGGCCUAAUACUGACGCUGAGGUACGAAAGCAUGGGGAGCAAACAGGAUUAGAUACCCCAGUAGCCCCUGUCUCUUAUAC
This 301-nucleotide ribosomal RNA is filed under the name uncultured bacterium. RNAcentral's name for it is "partial 16S ribosomal RNA". It matches the Rfam family "Bacterial small subunit ribosomal RNA", at positions 509 to 807 of the family's 1533-position model. The record is from RNAcentral.